RNAcentral lists this ribosomal RNA (529 nucleotides) under uncultured bacterium. RNAcentral's name for it is "partial 16S ribosomal RNA". It matches the Rfam family "Bacterial small subunit ribosomal RNA", at positions 355 to 874 of the family's 1533-position model. The record is from RNAcentral.
UGGGGAAUAUUGCACAAUGGGCGCAAGCCUGAUGCAGCCAUGCCGCGUGUGUGAAGAAGGCCUUCGGGUUGUAAAGCACUUUCAGCGAGGAGGAAGGUGGUGGACUUAAUACGUUCAUCAAUUGACGUUACUCGCAGAAGAAGCACCGGCUAACUCCGUGCCAGCAGCCGCGGUAAUACGGAGGGUGCAAGCGUUAAUCGGAAUUACUGGGCGUAAAGCGCACGCAGGCGGUUUGUUAAGUCAGAUGUGAAAUCCCCGGGCUCAACCUGGGAACUGCAUUUGAAACUGGCAAGCUAGAGUCUCGUAGAGGGGGGUAGAAUUCCAGGUGUAGCGGUGAAAUGCGUAGAGAUCUGGAGGAAUACCGGUGGCGAAGGCGGCCCCCUGGACGAAGACUGACGCUCAGGUGCGAAAGCGUGGGGAGCAAACAGGAUUAGAUGCCCUGGUAGUCCACGCUGUAAAGCGAUGUCGAUUUUGGAGGUUGUGCCCUUGAGGCGUGGCUUCCGGAGCUAACGCGUUAAAUCGACCGCCU